RNAcentral lists this long non-coding RNA (381 nucleotides) under Brassica rapa (field mustard). Its description in RNAcentral is "long non-coding RNA (BRAP_LNC005635)". Lineage: Eukaryota; Viridiplantae; Streptophyta; Magnoliopsida; Brassicales; Brassicaceae. The record is from RNAcentral.
GUAAAGGAACCUCGGCUCGGGUGCCCGUCCUCACGAGUUCGAGCUCCGACCACAGCGGAUUUAACAUGGUUUCCGUUUGGCCUCCAGGAUCUUCUUCGCCAGUUUCGGUUGGACGCGGUGGGGUAGUCGGAGUAAGUGAGAGGUCCGGAUACCUGGAUUAUCAAAAAAAAAAAUAGGGAAUCCAUGAUAAAUGUCAACAUAUUCUACGAUAUUAUUAAGAACGAAAUGUAUAUUCUACAUUCUAAUGGGAUGAUUAAUGUUUUGGACGUAUGUAUAUGGCUACUAUUAUAAAAAAAAUUCCUUUUAAUUUUUUACACUUGCCAUAUUACUCGGUCAACAUUUUUUUGGUCAAUCUAUGUUAUUCCCACAUUUAUGCCAACC